AGGUACUGAUGUACGAUGCUGAACUCCGAGCAUUACUGGAUUUGAGAAUCAUGUAGGUACUCAAUUGUGAACUAGGAAAGCGCUUUUAGGCACCUCGCAGAAAGAUAUGCAGAAUCAGAGAUGGAUGGCAUUGCAACAGCUCAAUGUUUUAAAAUUUAUGGGCAGUGACCACUCAUCAUAUAAAGAGUUUAUUGCUGGAAUUAUAUCUAAUUCGUUACCAACACAAAGCAAAAUGUUGUCAAAUCCGUGAUAAAACUGCAGACAGACGAUAUAUACGAGUAUCUGAUGAGUAAAUUCCCCUCCAUCUCCUUGAGAGGGUUGAAUUUUCUUAUUUCAAAACAACUUACAUGUGGAUGAUCUGACAUUAUUAUGAAUUCGAGGAUCCUCGUAUUGUGAAUUUUAUUGCAGCCAUAAAAAAUCAUUAUUGCUUGAUGGUGAAACACUCGUGAAGAAACGAGACGUGGUAGGAAGAAAUUUGGCAGUAAUCUGGUGCACUGUUCGUGAAGACAUGAGCCCAAUUCCGGAUUCAGCUAGCAAUAGCCCAGAAAAUUUGGAAUAAUGCAGAUAAAGUGGCUGAUGCCUGCAGAACAUUUCAAGAAAAUGACUUUCACGUAUGAAAAAUUUUCUAUCCGUUUAAACUUGCCGAAUCAAUGUUUUUUUCUCUUCUGAAGUGAUUCGCUUUUUUUAAUGGAAAAGCCCAUUUUUCAAAACAUUCAUUGCAGAAAAUCAUCCCAUUUUUAGAUUUGUAAAAAUUCGUGAAAAAUUGAAAAAUAAAUUUAGGCAGCUGAAACGACAAAUGCUUCGAAUCAGCUGACAUGAUGAAACCAGUUCUUGAUCGUUGGAGAAGGUGGGGGGGGGUAGAGUCUUUUUUCGGCACUUGAAAUUUCUCGUCAUAUUGCUCAACUGUGGGGUCGAAUUGCUCGGUAUGGGAUCGCUACCAUUUGGAGAAAACCUUCUUGCGACGGUUCGGAGGUACUUAAUUGAGAAAAGUUUCAAAAAUAUUUGCUAAAAAUUUCAAAAAUUCAAAGUUUAAUUUUUUCAAUGAAGGAGCGACGAGUACGAAAAAUAACGAACCGCUAAACUUUCGUCACUUAGGCUGAAUGGAUGGUAAUGAUGUUAAUAAGAUUGCAUACACGGUUUGCCGUAAAUAAGAGAAGCUUUUUUGCCAAGGAAAAAAAUUUGAAUUUGCAUAGUAAUAUUCGAAUAGAAAGUUGUUCUAGGGAGGUUUUUUGAAACGGCAAAUUAACAGAAAAAAAUGAGCGAAAAAUUGUUUUUAAAAAAAUGCAUCUUUUGUGAACUUUUCUGGCUGAUUUGAGGUCGCUAAGAACAAAAAUGACGUUCAAAUUGAGCGUUGGUAGUUGGAAUGUAGUUUUUGCGAGAUUUGUAUUCGUUAACCUCAAAUUAGAGCCCAUCAUUUCCGAAAUGAUUUUAAAAGCCUGAGGGACGAACUGUGAGUCAAAGUGAUACUCUAGUGUUGAUCUACCUAUGUAAUUCAAGAAAUUGAAAGCAUUUUUUUCAUCAAAUUUCAGGAUUUACCUGGGUAUUUAAGGGUUUUUUUUUCUGAAUGGGUAUCGAAUUUCAAAAUAAAAUUUUCUCGAAGUAGAAAUCCUUAGCGGUAUUUGACCGGUUUCACGCAAAGUUCAUCAAGAUGUGAAACUUUUUCCUCAUAAAAAAUUGUUUAAUAUUUGUAGUCGUACCUUUGGCAGUUUCUGUUGCAUUAUGAAUCAAAGAUUCAUUUCAAAUAACUGAAUUUUGUCAGUUUGAAAUCGAUUCUCAUAAUCAAUUUACCUACUUGAAACUUGAAAAUUAGUUUACGAUAAAACUUUUAAACUAGGUACCUUACGAUUAUUAAUUGAUAUUAUGAUUUUAGACUUGAAAAACGAAAAAUCUAGUUCGGCUAUUAGGUAAAUCGAGCAUAAAAAAUGCUAUUUAAUCGUAUUUUCGAACUACUUUUAAUACAUACGUCGUUGUUCAUUGUCAAUUUUCGAUCAUGGUAAAAAUUCUUACUGAUGAAAUCAAAACGAAAAUAAUUCCCUUACCUCGAACAAUUCGAUUUAUUACAUUAUUUAUUGCAUAGCUUGCGUACAUAACAUUUCAGUAAGUACAAAAAGUUCAAAACGAAUAAGAAAAUUAUUUACUAAAAAUACACAUAGACGACGAUACGUUUCUUCUACUAUUUUUUCAUACAUUUCGUUCGCUGGAAAAAAUCAAGUUUAGUGGCAGCUGAAUAUUAUUAAUUUGAUUAAACAUUACACGGUAUAAAAUAAUUCACUCAAUCAAUGAACAAUACUUAGGUAAUAGAAAUAAAUUACUUCGAAUUUUUUAAUAAAAAAAAAUUGAAAACUUAUUUAAAAAUUCCAACAGUUUCCAUUGAAUUUUUUCAAAAAUCCAAAAUUUUAAGUACACAACAGUGUAAACUUGAAAAGUUAUCCCAGUUUCAUUUUUCCCCUAUAACAGUUAAGAAGCAAAAUUUUUUAAAUCAUAAACUACCAACGAGAGUUGUGGUAUAGGUUUGGAAAAAUGAGAAAAUUAUGCGGGGAAAUCUUACAGGAAGGAUUGGCCUUUUUCUAGGAGUGAUAUAACUUAGGAAUAGAACACGAGAAAAGGAAAUAGGAAUAGAGACGGGAUGGGCUCCGAGGUAAGUAAAGGGAUGGGGUAACCUAGUAGGUAUACCACAACUAUUAGAUCUUCAAAAAUUACUUUUAUUCUAAUGAAAUCCAAAAACUAAAUUUCAAGUACAUACUAUUUUACAGUGUCCAAAAUGGUCGCAAUUUUUUUUACCACAAAAGGGAGUAGGUAAUAUCUUGCAGUAAUAUUUCUGGACCGUGAAAUACGCCGAAAGUAAUCAAAUAAAAUCAGUUUUAAAAUUCUCGUCGAUACUAUUCGCCAUUGUAUGCGCACAACUUGCAACACGAAAUAAAUAAUUCGCAAUUUCUAUGAAAUGACAAUGAACUAUAUACCUACGUAACCGAAACUUAACAGUACAAAACCGUUAUUCGACCUACUAAACUAAAAUUACAACUUACCUAUCUAACAAUUCGAUGUUUUGAUAAAUGAAAUUAAUUUUCGUGGGCUAGGUAAAUACACGUAGCUUGAAUGACAGUAAAGUCAACAAAGAUGAGACGUAUCUCCAGUAUAGCAUGAACCUUUUAGAUGAUAAAAAAUAAAUAAAAAGGAGACAAAAUAAUUAAAGAGAGAAAAAUAGAAACUGACAUCUAAUUAGACAUAAUUAUAUAAAUAGUAGGUAUUACAAGUUCAUUACACUGAUCAUAUUGAUUAUUCUCUAUUAAAUUCAUAGGUACCUACUACCUAAUCGUAUAUUGUUCAUUAUUAACUUUCGGUCAUGGUAGACAUUUUUACUGAUGAAAUAAAAACGAAAAUAAUUCCCUUAGCCUAUUCACUGGAAAAAAGAAAAAUUCAAGUUGUAUUUUGUGCUAAACAUUAUCAGUAAGGAACAUUAUACGUUAUAAAAUAAUUCGCUUACCUAAUCAAUAAGCAAUUAAUAAAAAUAAAUUGCAUCGCAAAUAAAAAAAAUUGAAAACUUAUUUAAACAUUGCAACAGUUUCCAUUAAAUUUUUUCAAAAUUCCAGAAUUUUAAAUACAUAAUGGUGUUUAACUUCAAUCUUAAUUAAGUCAUUAUAAUGUUCACGAAUAUCACAAUUCAAAAAAUAUUGCAAAAAUUAUCUACCCUUUUAAAAAACAAAAAACAUGAAUUAAACGAGAAGGCAUCGUCUAAAAACACGUUUGUAUGAUAACAAAACAGCCCGAAUCCUUGCUGAAUUAUGGUCACAAAAUUUUCUAAAAAAACUAUUGUUAUUGUUGCCAUAUCUGUCUAAUCUGUAACUGGCAUCCAAUUUAAUGGUAAUAUGCAGUUAAAUUCCCUUGCAAGUUAGCAGCAAACAGUCUCCAGCUUUCUACAAGUUUCUUAAAUUCUGCAAUUCUCUCGAUUUCCCACUCAAAUACUGAAAGAAUUUGCAACCUUGUAUUUUUCUUAGGGGUAGUUAGGUGCAUCUGAAAGUAUCAUAAUUCCGAUUAUCAGACAGAUAAAAUCGGAGUUGGGAUUAGCGAAUGGUUAUAAGAUGCAUUGUCUUCUUUCUUCUCAAGUAUAUGCUCAGAGUGUGUGGUUAAAUCAAGCAGGGUUCACUCUCAUUAUACAUACUUAGGUAUUUUGUCCUACAACUAAUUCUUACAAAUAGGUAUAAAUGUAAGUACAUUUAACAUACAUGAACUUUCAAUAAAUCUGAUCAUCUCGUAUAAUGACGAGAGAGAAAAAAUUUACCGAUGAAGGUUUCAAAAGUUGAAAUUUUGCGUUGUUUGUGUGAAUUUAAUGCUCCCUUACUUAAACAUACGGUACCUACAACUGAAAACUGUGCGAGUAAAGAUUCUUCACACAACAGAAAUAAACGAAAAGAUGAGACAUUAUAAGAAAUAAGAAAACCACUCAGCGUGGCUGUCAUAAAACGAAUAUAAUUUUAUAAGAAAUGAUCGAAAUCGAUAGUAAAUAACUAUCGAUAUUGAUGAGACAAUGGCAUAGGGGGACGACUACUGGUAGAAUGAAUUAAGAAAAAGGAAACCUCGUAACUUGACCACAUUUUGUAUUUCAAUUUCUACCAUCUAAAUUUUAAUUCUCUAUUUAUAAAACAUAUUUGAGAAUACAUAAGUACAUGGAAAAAUCAAAGCAUUGUCAAAAGUUGAAGCAACAUCUUCGGACAAAAUUGUAACUACAUAGGUACCUACAUCAAAAAUUAUAAUUAAAUUAUUUCAAAACCUAGGUACUUAAAAAUAUUCAAACAUACUUGAAUCUCAAACAUCUGAAUUUUAAUUUUCGAGUUCUUGAUUGAACUGCAUAUUCCAAGUAAUCAAAACAAAAUUGUAAGAUUCAUAUAAUUAAAUCAAAUCAUAUUCUUAAUUCUAAAGGGGUUUAUUCAACCAUACCUUAAAUUGAAUUCUAAUUGUAAGGGGAAAAACAUUUCAUUUCAGCAUGUUAAAGGGAAACUUAAUAAUCCUGGCUCACUAACCUUGAAAGGUGUGAUUCCACCCCUAUACCCAGCACCAUCUGUGCUUGUGGCUUAAGUGAGCAUCUCGCAGAUCAAUCAACUCUUGAUAAAUCUUAAAAUUUGUAACUCAAUAAAUCUUAAAUAUACAAAUUCAAAUCAUUCUUCUUCAGCAUCACAAAAUGUAAUACAAAAAUAGAAUUUAUUACUUCGCAAUAAAAAUCAAAUUGUAACUUCAACAGUCAUAACUUGCAAAAAAUGAGUAAGAAUACACCAUUACAUAUUGGAGGAUAGAAAACUACCUACUUAGUUAGCAUUACUGAGAUCUUGAUGUAUUCUUCUCAGUUCUAUGGGAAUGUCAUCUUAAGUUACCACCAUUUUUCUAAUUCUGGUGGGAAAUGCAAAUGUGAUAGUACAUUGUAAUAUAAUAUUACAGAUAGACUAUGCUGGGGUGGAUAGAGUUAACUUAUCCACUUGGGGGGUGAAGUCAGGAAAUACCACUUAGACAGUAUAUUUUAACCACUACGUGGACUUACCUGUUAUGCUCGGAUUAGCUCAGGAUGCACAGUAUAAAUGUAAUAAAAUAUUGCAUAAAUGACGUUAAUAAACACGGUUUGGUUACUCAAGAGGUAUUUAUUAACGGUAAUUAACACAAAAACUCCCUUAAAGGGUAUAUUUACACGAAUUACUCUCACGAUGGGGUACUUUAAAUAUUAACCGAACUCCCUCGAUGGGGUAUAUUAACAACACUCCCGCGAACGGGUAAAUUAACUCAUUUAAGAUAAAGACGAAUGGUAAUUAAACCGUAAGCGGAUGGCGAGCUGUCCUUUGUCCUCUUGAUCAGGGAGAACGAGCUCGGAGAGGCACGUUGGUGCCUCUCCUAGCUAUAAGAACGAACUGGCAAUGUUCCCUGUCGCGUAGCUCGGAUGGAGCUCCGCUUAUGAGGACGGACGCAGUGUUACCACGAGUAGUAGACCCUAAUUGUACGUUGACACCAGGUUGGCCAUAUGCACUAUCACAACAUAAAUAAAUCAAAGCAUUGCUAAGAGUUGAGACAACAUAUUGGGUCAAAAUUAGGUGCAUUAUGUCAUUCCAACAAUGACAUUAUUACGUGAAAACAUAGACGCCGCAACGGGGGGAGGGCCGGGGGCAAUGGCCUCCCAAACUCAAAAUUAGCCCCCUCCAUCCCAAGCAGAAUUCAUAUUUAUGUUAAAAAAAACAGACUUUUUAAAAAAACAUAAUCGUCAUCACAUGCUUAGAAAAAAUGAAAAUUUCGAAAAGUCGAAGUCUGGGUUUUUUAGGAAAAUGCAAAUCAGUUCAAUAUUUUGAGUGACUUCUAAAAAUGACUUUUUCAAGGAAAACAUCAGCAGUGAUGAAAUUUUGACCAUACUAAAAAAAAAUCAUCGUAUACCUCUUGAAAGAAUGGACUGAUUUUUGAAAGCUUUGCCCUUGUUUUCGCUCGGGCCGUUUGCUUUUCUAUUUUCCUUCUUACAUUUAAAAAAAAAUCAUCAUUCAAAUUCCAUUGUUUCAUGCUUCUUGCUUCUCGAAAUACAUGUACUAAUUUUCAAGAACGUUUGGGCUAAUUUUUUUCGCUUUUGAAAUUAAAAAAAAAAAAAUCAUCAUUUGAAUUUCAAAAUUUUGAAGCGAAAUGUAAAUGUUAAACUUUUUAGAAGUAACUCAUCAUUGUGCAGCUCCAAAAUUUCCUUUGGAUGAGCUCUGGUUUUUAAAAUUUUCAUUUUUUUUCUAUUUUCAAGUUUUUAUUUGCACCAAAAAUGAAUAUAUGUAUAUGCUGCUGGUAAUUUGCCUUUAUAGCUUGACCCCCCCCCCCCCAUCACCCAGAAAUUUAAACUCAGCGGCGCCUAUGUGAUUAUUCAACCAUAUACCAAAUUUAAUUCUCCAACCAUAUACCUACUAAAUUUAAUUGUAAGGGGGAAAACUUUGUAACAUAACCACAUACUAUUUGUACGAGUAUUUCAUCAAAACAAGACUGUAAGAAGUGAGAUUCACAAUUGAAUCAAAUCAUAAUUAAUUCUAAUGAGGUUUAUUCAACCAUAGGGUAUACUAAAUUUAAUCCUAAGGGGAAAAACUAACUACUUACACCUUAGCAUGUCAAAGGGAAACAAUCAAUUUAACUGACGGUGAAAAAUAGGCUACAUUUUAUGCCCUACAAUCGUCGCGAAACUUUCCCUUUCAUGGGUCAAUAGAUACACAUGAAAGUUCAAAGUUCGGUGUGCGCCAGUACUUGGCUUUUAAAUUGGAGUAGAAUGGAAUUUUGAGUGAAUAGGUACAUGGGUGUUUGAGGAUGAAAAAAUUAUUUGCAAUUCAUCCUCUACAAUUUGAGCUUUUAUUCGACUCUGUAGGUUUUACUGGCCAAAAGUUAUGAAAGUUUUAGUGUUUCAGCUUCUACAACUUUUUGAACUUUUGACCAGGUGAAGCUAUGGAGUCGAACAAAAGCUCAAAUUGUAGGGGAUGAAUUGUAGAUCACUUUUCUAUUCUCAAACAGCCUUCUACUCGCUCAAAAUUGCAUUCUAUUCCUAUUUAAAGAUCGAGAAGGUACACAUAACACUGAUAUUAAGACAUGUGUUAAAUCCCACCCUACACCAUGUUGCCACAUAACCUGUGCUGAGGCCUUCUGUUGAGGUGGUGUUUAACUUGAUUCUGGCUCGCAAACCUUCAAGGGUGUAACUCCAUGUCACCCUGAUACCAGCAUCCUCAGUGCUUGUGGCUUAAUAAGCAAGCAUCUAGUAGAUCAAUAAACUCUUGAUAAAUUUUGAAAUUUGUAACUUAAUGAAUCUCAAACACACAAAUUCAAAUCAUAGUCUUUAAUACUUCUUCAUGCAUCACAAAUCGUGAUACAAAAAUAAAAUUCAUUACUUCACAUUAAAAAUCAAAUUGGAACUUCAAAAGUCGUAACUUACGAAAAAUUUGGAAGAACACAACAUUACAUACCUACCUAAGGAUAGAAAACGAGUUAGAAUUGCUGAGAUCUUGAUAUUUUAUUUUUAGCCUCCUAUAAUGUUAUAUCGAGUUACCCCAUUUUUUUCAUUCUGGUGGUAAAUUCAAAUAUGAUAACAAAACAAUAAUGGUUUACCUGACUAUGUUAUAUUUACACAAGUAUCUUUAUUCUGGUUGUGUCCUUUUUUUUUAGUAUGUUAUGAACAAACACCUUCACAAAGCAAAGAAAUUCUCACACUAGUUCUUAAGCACCAUUAAAAUGAAAAUCAUAAAACAAAACCUAGGUAUGCUUGAGAAUAGAAAGAUUUGAAAAUUUUAAUUGAAUUAUUAAGUAUAUCAUACUUAAUUUACCCAAUAGUAUGACACAAUUAUUUGAUACGUACUUACUUACAUUAAAAUUGUAAAUUGACCCUUUAAUUUGAAAAUAGAUACCUACACAUAUUGGCUCUGAUCAUCUCAACGGGCCCAUUAAUCACUGACCUUUUGGGUUUUAAAACCACCUUUAUCCUCAUUAAGGUGUUCAAUUUAAUUUUCAAAACGAAUGGCUUCUUUGAUAAUUUUCUCCACCUUACCCUAAACAAUUUCAAUCACUUUAUUCCCACGUUAAAAAAAUUGUUGUUGAUUGUAGAAUGCACAAUACUUUUCUAGCCUUUAAUUGGGGCCAACUCUUGAAAAUAUGAAACCAUUUGCAAUGAGGUACUGAAAUGAAUUCAUAACCAAGAUUAACAAGUUCAACUUACCAUUUCAACUUUCUGGUUAAAAUCUUACUUUUAUCUCGAGAACUAAAUACCUACUUUGAGUUUAUCAAAAAAUUAAAUUGUGCAUACCUAUAAAUACGAACGUUUUGUUAGUCUCAAAUCUUUUCUAAAUGAGAAAUGCAAACUCCAAAAAAAAAUUGGCAUGGGCUGUCCUGAUUGGAUCAUAUAGAACAUAGACAGCCAACAAUACUUUGGACAAAAAAUCUUAUGUGUAAGCCUAGUAUAACUAUGUAUUAUUGUAUUCAAAACAAACGAAUCGCGUCAAAUCAAAUUAAAAAAUGAAAAUUUAAAGAAAUGAAAAAUGAAUCUGCAAAUGCUCAAUAGUUUGUAUGACCCCCUGCAAACAAAAAUAACCCUUUGAGUUGAGUAGGUACACUACCUAGAUCUUGUAAAAACGCGAAUGUUAUGCAAAAAGAAUAGACAGUUUCUAUGCAGAGUAAUUAUAUUGAUUUGCUAAAGAUUUUUACACAUUCUUCAUUUAGUUAGGACCAAGAAAGGUAAUAAGAAUAGAAAUUAAGGAACUAAAGAAUACAUACCUAGGUAAUAAAUGAAGAAAAAUGGAAUAGAAAUUAUUAAUUAAUACCUAUACUUACUAAUGGAUUUCAUAGAAUAGACCAAUGUAAAAUAUCUAUGUACUUAUGUGAUAAGCAUUGAAUUUGAAAUGUGUCAUUUUCUCACGAUAAUUUAAAAUACACCGUUAAUCUCACCCAACAAUUUACCUUUCAAACCGCCAUCAUCAUAAACGUCGUAGUUUGCCGCGCCUUUAGGAGUUUGACCUCUGCCAAUGCUAAAUCCAUAAUGACCCGUAAUAGUUUUUGGGGUGCAGAUGAGUACACUUGUAGAUGCGCUUUCGCCUGGAACUAACACAAGAUCUAUCUUUUGACAUUUUGGAAAACCUGCAGCGAACUGUAUAGGGGAAGUAGAAAAACCAUUGUGUAUAGCAGCGCUGUUGCAGAAUUUUUUUAAAUCAUCGGGUUUAGCGCAGUUGUCUGUGGAAGCUGGAUCAGUUUCUCUGAAACAGAAUUGGCACUGCCUAUGAAGAAUGGUUCAAAAUGUGUAUUUAUAUGUACUUAGAUAGGUAUUGCAAAAGAUUUUCUUUGCCAGUGUAAUCGCAAACACACAUUAUUUUUUUAACCUUUAAUUAUUUCUAUUAACAAUAUCUUAAUAAAAAUAAAACUUUUGAAAUUUCGUU
Planococcus citri (citrus mealybug) is the source of this 9899-nucleotide long non-coding RNA. RefSeq lists it as uncharacterized. The transcript has 2 exons. The record is from RefSeq and is a predicted model, not a curated record. NCBI's taxonomy places the organism in Eukaryota, Metazoa, Arthropoda, Insecta, Hemiptera, Pseudococcidae.